RNAcentral lists this ribosomal RNA (441 nucleotides) under uncultured Thalassospira sp. Its description in RNAcentral is "bacterial SSU rRNA". It matches the Rfam family "Bacterial small subunit ribosomal RNA", at positions 29 to 505 of the family's 1533-position model. The record is from RNAcentral. Lineage: Bacteria; Pseudomonadati; Pseudomonadota; Alphaproteobacteria; Rhodospirillales; Thalassospiraceae.
AACGAACGCUGGCGGCAGGCCUAACACAUGCAAGUCGAGGGAGAAGGUUACUUCGGUAACUGGAGACCGGCAGACGGGUGAGUAACACGUGGGAACAUACCGAGUAGUGGGGGAUAACAGUUGGAAACGACUGCUAAUACCGCAUACGCCCUUCGGGGGAAAGAUUUAUCGCUAUUUGAUUGGCCCGCGUUAGAUUAGCUAGUUGGUAAGGUAACGGCUUACCAAGGCGACGAUCUAUAGCUGGUUUGAGAGGAUGAUCAGCCACACUGGGACUGAGACACGGCCCAGACUCCUACGGGAGGCAGCAGUGGGGAAUAUUGCGCAAUGGAGGAAACUCUGACGCAGCCAUGCCGCGUGAGUGAAGAAGGCCUUAGGGUUGUAAAGCUCUUUCAGAUGUGAUGAUGAUGACAGUAGCAUCAAAAGAAGUUCCGGCUAACUUCG